This 253-nucleotide ribosomal RNA is filed under the name uncultured bacterium. Its description in RNAcentral is "partial 16S ribosomal RNA". It matches the Rfam family "Bacterial small subunit ribosomal RNA", at positions 524 to 776 of the family's 1533-position model. The record is from RNAcentral.
UACGUAGGGGGCAAGCGUUGUCCGGAAUCAUUGGGCGUAAAGAGCGUGUAGGCGGUCCGGUAAGUCCGCUGUGAAAGUCGGGGGCUCAACCCUCGAAUGCCGAUGGAUACUGUGAAGCUAGAGUACGGAAGAGGCGAGUGGAAUUCCUGGUGUAGCGGUGGAAUGCGCAGAUAUCAGGAGGAACACCAAUGGCGAAGGCAGCUCUCUGGUACAUGAUUGACGCUGAGACGCGAAAGCGUGGGGAGCAAACGGG